This 423-nucleotide ribosomal RNA is filed under the name uncultured bacterium. Its description in RNAcentral is "bacterial SSU rRNA". It matches the Rfam family "Bacterial small subunit ribosomal RNA", at positions 207 to 622 of the family's 1533-position model. The record is from RNAcentral.
AAGACCUUGCACUUUUGGAGCGGCCGAUGUCUGAUUAGCUAGUUGGUGGGGUAAUGGCCUACCAAAGCUUCGAUCAGUAGCUGGUCUGAGAGGACGGCCAGCCACACUGGGACUGAGACACGGCCCAGACUCCUACGGGAGGCAGCAGUGGGGAAUUUUGGACAAUGGGCGCAAGCCUGAUCCAGCCAUGCCGCGUGAGUGAAGAAGGCCUUCGGGUUGUAAAGCUCUUUCAGCCGGGAAGAAAAGGUUGCGACUAAUAAUCGCAAUCCAUGACGGUACCGAAAGAAGAAGCACCGGCUAACUACGUGCCAGCAGCCGCGGUAAUACGUAGGGUGCGAGCGUUAAUCGGAAUUACUGGGCGUAAAGGGUGCGCAGGCGGUUUUGUAAGUCAGAUGUGAAAUCCCCGGGCUUAGCCUGGGAACU